RNAcentral lists this transfer RNA (74 nucleotides) under Jatropha curcas. It matches the Rfam family "tRNA". From Rfam's summary of the family: Transfer RNA (tRNA) molecules are approximately 80 nucleotides in length. The record is from Rfam by way of RNAcentral. Lineage: Eukaryota; Viridiplantae; Streptophyta; Magnoliopsida; Malpighiales; Euphorbiaceae.
GGUCCCAUAGCUCAGUUGGUCAAAGCGUGACUCUUAUGAGUUGAAGGUCGCGGGUUCAAAUCUCGUCGGGACCA